GACGAACGCUGGCGGCGUGCUUAACACAUGCAAGUCGAACGGAAAGGCCCUGCUUGCAGGGUGCUCGAGUGGCGAACGGGUGAGUAACACGUGGGUGAUCUGCCCCUUACUUUGGGAUAAGCCUGGGAAGCUGGGUCUAAUACUGGAUAGGACCAUGCUGUAGGUGGUGUGGUGGAAAGAUUAGUUUCGGUAAGGGAUGAGCUCGCGGCCUAUCAGCUUGUUGGUGGGGUAAUGGCCUACCAAGGCGUCGACGGGUAGCCGGCCUGAGAGGGUGGACGGCCACAUUGGGACUGAGAUACGGCCCAGACUCCUACGGGAGGCAGCAGUGGGGAAUAUUGCACAAUGGGCGCAAGCCUGAUGCAGCGACGCCGCGUGGGGGAUGACGGCCUUCGGGUUGUAAACUCCUUUCAGCCAUGACGAAGCCCUUGUGGUGACGGUAGUGGGAGAAGAAGCACCGGCUAACUACGUG
This 469-nucleotide ribosomal RNA is filed under the name uncultured bacterium. RNAcentral's name for it is "partial 16S ribosomal RNA". It matches the Rfam family "Bacterial small subunit ribosomal RNA", at positions 28 to 507 of the family's 1533-position model. The record is from RNAcentral.